UGGGGAAUAUUGCGCAAUGGGCGAAAGCCUGACGCAGCGACGCCGCGUGAGGGAUGAAGGUUUUCGGAUCGUAAACCUCUGUCAGAAGGGAAGAAACCGCACUGUGCUAAUCAGCAGUGCCUUGACGGUACCUUCAAAGGAAGCACCGGCUAACUCCGUGCCAGCAGCCGCGGUAAUACGGAGGGUGCAAGCGUUAAUCGGAAUUACUGGGCGUACAGCGCACGUAGGCUGCUUUGUAAGUCAGGGGUGAAAUCCCACGGCUCAACCGUGGAACUGCCUUGGAUACUGCUUAGCUUGAAGCCGGGAGAGGGUGGCGGAAUUCCAGGUGUAGGAGUGAAAGCCGUAGAUAUCUGGAGGAACAUCAGUGGCGAAGGCGGCCACCUGGACCGGUAUUGACGCUGAGGUGCGAAAGCGUGGGGAGCAAACAGG
RNAcentral lists this ribosomal RNA (429 nucleotides) under Fusobacteriota bacterium. Its description in RNAcentral is "Fusobacteria bacterium partial 16S ribosomal RNA". It matches the Rfam family "Bacterial small subunit ribosomal RNA", at positions 355 to 776 of the family's 1533-position model. The record is from RNAcentral. Lineage: Bacteria; Fusobacteriati; Fusobacteriota.